Long non-coding RNA from Scatophagus argus, 2391 nucleotides. RefSeq lists it as uncharacterized. The transcript is spliced from 2 exons. Lineage: Eukaryota; Metazoa; Chordata; Actinopteri; Scatophagidae. The record is from RefSeq and is a predicted model, not a curated record.
CCUAUUUCCCUAUAAGAAAGACUUCCUUAUUACUGUUAUAUGAUGGACCAGGUGAUCAUUUAUCUGGUUUGAGCUACAGUCACUUGUUAUGUGGCUCGGUUCACUCAGCUUUGACUCCAAGUAUAGAAGUUUAUGCAACAGCUGAAAAAAGAAAACGUAGACACACUCCAUCUGACAGCUCAGUUUGGCUACUUCUUCAGAAAAUGAUAUUAAGUUUAAACAUUAAAUGCUGAACAUUGUUACCUGAACAAUGAUUUUUUUUUUUUUUUUUUUGCUCAGGUAACAAAAACAUUAUCUUCACUGUAAGCUUUUCUGCUUAAAGGGCAGUCGCUUCUGUGAUAGUUACAGCAAUGUAAAUGGGCCAUCAUAUGCGUUAAAGUGUAGUUCACUUCUUUUUGGUCAUGUUGUCACCGUCUAGCAGGACCAGUGAAGCUAGCGAUAGCUGAUAAUAUACCAAGGCUCUGUUUCUUAAAGGAGCUUAAAUGAGUUGAUAAAAGUCCCUCCUUCUCUAAAGGUAAGCUAAAAUUAUUCAUAUCGUGAGAGACACUGUCAGAGACAGAUUCUCCUGUGUGGGCUUGUUGUUGGAUCACACUAUGAAUCCCCUUGUUACGGGUGGAUCGGAAAAAAGGGUACUUUUGAAGUUCAAAAUAUGGUUUUGCAGUUAUUUUCAUGCUAUUUAAAAUUGAAAACAGUUAAAAAAAAAAAGUAUAUUUUCUCAAUUCAAAUGUUAAAAAGUAUUUUAUUAAGCUUGCUUACUCUGAAUUAAGAUUUCUCGAUGAUUGCCUCCAUUAGCCAUUCACCGCUGCCAUUCAGCACAUGGUGUGUGCUGUACAAAGUGUACAGGCAAUAAGUUUAACAGGAAUUUGAGAGACAACUGUAUAUGUUAAUAUGUUAUGAUUGUUCCUCUUUGUGCAGAAAACGCCAAAUGAAAUACCUUUGUGUUUAUACUUGUUUAUAUUCACCUGCAAGAUAUCACUUGCACACAUUUUAAUCCUAAUUAUUUAAAAAAUAUACUAUAUCAAAUUUUGUAUCAAAUUGUGUCAAAUGCAUUCAACGUUAUUGUUACUGACACAGUGAUAACUACAGUGUAGCACUCCAAAGUUUCUUUCACUAUAGUAUGUAUGAAGGUGGAGGCCAGCCUCCUGCGUAGGUAGGAUGUCAUGUGUGGGGUUUCCCAGACGGCUGCUGCUUUGCCAUUUAUUAGAAAAAUAGACAGGGAGAGCCCCUUUUUGGAUCCUGCUUAAUCACCGUUUUUGUCCCUCAUAAUCUUCUUUCUUUUUCCAUGCAAUAUUUCAUACAGAAGUGCGGAGUCAUUCUUUCAUUGUGCAGUCGAAGCAAUGGAAAUGUAAAAGUCGGAGCCUUCAAAAAAGUGUAAUGUAAGAACAAACAAGUUUGUAUCCUUAAACUAAAAUGGAAACUCGCUGGUUUUCUCUGUGGUUUGGUGGUUGAUAACGCGCCGUUCACGUUACAGUAAUGAUUCAGUACACUCCGAAAGGACACCGUAAACUCACUGUCAGUUUGUCCAGAAGUUGCGCACCUUAUUUUUUUUCCCCUGAUGCUACAUGGUGUAUUAAUAGUGUCUUAAACAAACACAUCCGCACCAACCAGCAUGAAUCUUAAUUUUUGACCCGUCCCUUACUCUGACGGUCUUCCCCCGCUAAAGCAGUGCAGCAAACCAACGGAGGGUGGGAGCUGAGGUGACCACAUCCACAAUCUGAUAAAUUUGAACAGAAAUACACUUUAUCUUUACGGAUUAUUUUGACACUGAACUCACUGUCAGCAUAUGACACUUUAUGUUUUGUGACUCCCAAGUGAUGUGUUUUUUGCAGACACAAAGGGAAUUAUUAGCUUAUCAUAGUUGGGUAAAACUUUACUAGACGGAUGAGUACAUAACAAUUCAUAGCAGCUCUCAAAGUAUUCAUGACUGUUUCGUAAGACGUAACGCAACAUUCAUAGCCAACCUUUUGUAAAUGUGGAGGACAGAAUGGCGAUAACUUGUCAAAAUAAAAGUCCAACAAGUUGGUCAUUGCCGCUCUGUUGCGAUGUUCCACCAAUACCCUUGUGCGCAUGCGUCUGCAUUACGCUUCUGACGUGCUUUCUAAUCGAGCUACUUGGAAUUACUUUCUCUCUGACUUCGGCAUUCGCCAGAGCUGGAUCGUGUUUCAGUGAUCCAAGACCAACGGAUAUCACCACCUCAAACGCCUCCAUAACAAUUAGUUCUGAGGAUAACGUUUAAUCUUUUUUUUAAAAUUCUUAUUUAUUUAUUUACUUAUUUUUUCAGUUCAGUUCAUAUCUUGUUCUUGUCAUAUUGUUGAUACAAUGUUGUUGCCCAUUUAAUUUGUGCUGUAAAAAGAGCCUGACAAUUGGGUGGAAACAUGGUUGUGUGUACUU